GGUGGAGGUGGUGACUUGUAGACAUAAGUAGGUACUGGAGGAGGUGGUGACUUGUACUCAUAAGUAGGCGUGGGUGGCGGUGGAGACUUGUACACAUAGGUUGGUGUUGGUGGUGGUGGAGAUUUGUACUCAUAAGUAGGUGUGGGUGGCGGUGGAGACUUGUACACAUAGGUCGGUGUUGGUGGCGGUGGAGAUUUGUACUCAUAAGUAGGCGUGGGUGGCGGUGGAGACUUGUACACAUAGGUCGGUGUUGGUGGCGGUGGAGAUUUAUACUCAUAAGUAGGCGUUGGUGGAGGUGGAGAUUUGUAUUCAUAAGUGGGCGUGGGUGGUGGUGGAGACUUGUACUCAUAAGUAGGCGUGGGUGGCGGUGGAGACUUGUACACAUAGGUUGGUGUUGGUGGUGGUGGAGAUUUGUACUCAUAAGUAGGUGUGGGUGGCGGUGGAGAUUUGUACUCAUAAGUAGGCGUGGGUGGCGGUGGAGAUUUGUACUCAUAAGUAGGCUUUGGUGGUGGUGGAGACUUGUACUCAUAAGUAGGCGUGGGUGGCGGUGGAGACUUGUACACAUAGGUUGGUGUUGGUGGUGGUGGAGAUUUGUACUCAUAAGUAGGUGUGGGCGGCGGUGGAGACUUGUACACAUAGGUCGGUGUUGGCGGCGGUGGAGAUUUGUACACAUAGGUCGGUGUUGGUGGCGGUGGAGACUUGUAUACAUAGGUCGGUGCUGGAGGAGGUGGGGACUUAUAGACAUAAGUUGGCGACGGUGGUGGAGGAGACUUGUAGUAGUACGGAGCCGGGGUCGGCUUCGGCUUCUUAC
Molecule: long non-coding RNA, 811 nt
Filed under: Olea europaea (common olive)
Lineage: Eukaryota; Viridiplantae; Streptophyta; Magnoliopsida; Lamiales; Oleaceae
Description: long non-coding RNA (OEUR_LNC009085)
Source: RNAcentral